GAUGAACGCUGGCGGCGUGCCUAAUACAUGCAAGUCGAGCGAACAGACGAGGAGCUUACUCCUCUGACGUUAGCGGCGGACGGGUGAGUAACACGUGGAUAACCUACCUAUAAGACUGGGAUAACUUCGGGAAACCGGAGCUAAUACCGGAUAACAUGUUGAACCGCAUGGUUCAACAGUGAAAGACGGUCUUGCUGUCACUUAUAGAUGGAUCCGCGUCGCAUUAGCUAGUUGGUAAGGUAACGGCUUACCAAGGCAACGAUGCGUAGCCGACCUGAGAGGCUGAUCGGCCACACUGGAACUGAGACACGGUCCAGACUCCUACGGGAGGCAGCAGUAGGGAAUCUUCCGCAAUGGGCGAAAGCCUGACGGAGCAACACCGCGUGAGUGAAGAAGGUCUUCGGAUCGUAAAACUCUGUUAUUAGGGAAGAACAAAUGUGUAAGUAACUAUGCACGUCUUGACGGUACCUAAUCAGAAAGCCACGGCUAACUACGUG
This 497-nucleotide ribosomal RNA is filed under the name uncultured bacterium. RNAcentral's name for it is "partial 16S ribosomal RNA". It matches the Rfam family "Bacterial small subunit ribosomal RNA", at positions 28 to 507 of the family's 1533-position model. The record is from RNAcentral.